RNAcentral lists this ribosomal RNA (487 nucleotides) under bacterium enrichment culture clone ALO1_GLFRUDD03GSZSW. RNAcentral describes it as "bacterial SSU rRNA". It matches the Rfam family "Bacterial small subunit ribosomal RNA", at positions 9 to 492 of the family's 1533-position model. The record is from RNAcentral.
GAGUUUGAUCCUGGCUCAGAUUGAACGCUGGCGGCAGGCCUAACACAUGCAAGUCGAGCGGAUGACGGGAGCUUGCUCCUUGAUUCAGCGGCGGACGGGUGAGUAAUGCCUAGGAAUCUGCCUGGUAGUGGGGGACAACGUUUCGAAAGGAACGCUAAUACCGCAUACGUCCUACGGGAGAAAGCAGGGGACCUUCGGGCCUUGCGCUAUCAGAUGAGCCUAGGUCGGAUUAGCUAGUUGGUGGGGUAAUGGCUCACCAAGGCGACGAUCCGUAACUGGUCUGAGAGGAUGAUCAGUCACACUGGAACUGAGACACGGUCCAGACUCCUACGGGAGGCAGCAGUGGGGAAUAUUGGACAAUGGGCGAAAGCCUGAUCCAGCCAUGCCGCGUGUGUGAAGAAGGUCUUCGGAUUGUAAAGCACUUUAAGUUGGGAGGAAGGGCAGUAAGUUAAUACCUUGCUGUUUUGACGUUACGACAGAAUAAGCA